This is a transfer RNA of Gloeophyllum trabeum ATCC 11539, 73 nucleotides long. It matches the Rfam family "tRNA". Rfam says of the family: Transfer RNA (tRNA) molecules are approximately 80 nucleotides in length. Their secondary structure includes four short double-helical elements and three loops (D, anti-codon, and T loops). Lineage: Eukaryota; Fungi; Basidiomycota; Agaricomycetes; Gloeophyllales; Gloeophyllaceae. The record is from Rfam.
AAGAGCGUAGUAUAAUUGGUUAGUAUUAUGAUCUCCAAAAUCGUCGAUAGGUGUUCGAUUCACCUCGCUCUUG